RNAcentral lists this transfer RNA (73 nucleotides) under Candidatus Onthonaster equi. RNAcentral describes it as "tRNA-Lys". It matches the Rfam family "tRNA". Rfam says of the family: Transfer RNA (tRNA) molecules are approximately 80 nucleotides in length. Their secondary structure includes four short double-helical elements and three loops (D, anti-codon, and T loops). The record is from RNAcentral. Lineage: Bacteria; Pseudomonadati; Bacteroidota; Flavobacteriia; Flavobacteriales; Weeksellaceae.
GACUUUGUAGCUCAGCUUGUAGAGCACAACACUUUUAAUGUUGGGGUCCUUGGUUCGAACCCCAGCCAAGUCA